AUUGAACGCUGGCGGCAGGCCUAACACAUGCAAGUCGAGCGAGAGGCGGACGGGUGAGUAAUGUCUGGGAGACUGCCUGAUGGAGGGGGAUAACUACUGGAAACGGUAGAUAAUACCGCAUACCAUCAGAUGUGCCCAGAUGGGAGUAGCUAGUAGGUGGGGUAACGGCGCACAUAGGCGACGAUCCCUAGCUGGGCUGAGAGGAUGACAAGCCACACUGGAACUGAGACACGGUCCAGAUUCCUACGGGAGGCAGCAGUGGGGAAUAUUGCACAAUGGGCGCAAGCCUGAUGCAGCCAUGCCGCGUGUGUGAAGAAGGCCUUCGGGUUGUAAAGCACUUUCAGCGUGGAGGCGUUACCCGCAGAAGAAGCACCGGCUAACUCCGUGCCAGCAGCCGCGGUAAUUC
This 406-nucleotide ribosomal RNA is filed under the name uncultured bacterium. Its description in RNAcentral is "partial 16S ribosomal RNA". It matches the Rfam family "Bacterial small subunit ribosomal RNA", at positions 30 to 526 of the family's 1533-position model. The record is from RNAcentral.